Motacilla alba alba is the source of this 1155-nucleotide long non-coding RNA. RefSeq lists it as uncharacterized. Lineage: Eukaryota; Metazoa; Chordata; Aves; Passeriformes; Motacillidae. The record is from RefSeq and is a predicted model, not a curated record. The transcript is spliced from 3 exons.
UGAUGGCUGCUUUGUGCACUGAGGAUUGUUUCCUCUGAUUUUACAGAGGUAACAGUGAAGGAAGGUGAGAAUGAGUGCAGGAUUUUUUGCUGGAUGAGGAUUAGGUUGAGAUUUCUCUCCAUGAACCUAUGGGAAAACAGAAUCAUGAAGCCUGAAAUUCUCAAACAAAUUGUGGGGCAGUCUUCUGAGUUUAAAUGCUUCCUGGAAAGACUUUCUGAAAAAUGAGCAGCCAAGUAGGAGAAACUGGCUUCUGGAGGGAUGAACGAAUAAAUGCAAUCUCUUCAACUUCAUUCAUGAGGACUCAUGAGCUGAGCAAGGAAUCAGAAAGGCAUCUUUCCACAUGAGACAGGUCCUAGAUAUGAAAGAGUACAGUGCUCUGCCUCUUUCUGCCCCUCUACAAACCCUUCCCUGCUUUCUGAAGGAUGGAGAGCCCCCAUGGGAGAGGGGUCCAGCAUGAUGCAGUGGAGGAUGCUGUCUAUACCCCAGUGUUUGCUCUGCUCUUCCUUAUUCUCUGCUGUUUGCAAAGUAGGGCUGAGAUGGCUUCUCUGAUAAAGGAUCCUUCCCAGACACAAAGAAGGAACAAUUCCAGGCCACUUUGCAAGUCACUGGGAGCAAAACGUAGCCCCUGCACCUUGUGAGGGGUGUAAAGCGUGUCUGAUUGCUUAGUCUUCAGCAGGAGGCAGCUUGGGGUGAACCAUUCCUGCUGCUUUGCCACUAUUAAGAUCCAGCAGUACCUUGAUGUUUCCUCACUGGCAAUAAUUUGCAGGAUUAAAUACUUCAAGCCACUCUAAAAUUAGUUCCAGGAGGCAUUUUUUGCUUUCAUUUCAGAGCUCUCGUGAGCCUUUCCUACUCUGUAAAUCUGCUACAGCUAAUUACCUGAUGGUUACUGUGCUCUAGAAGAUUUCAAAUAUCUGUCUUUUCCACAGCUCUAAAGACCCAGGUGGGGUUGCAGCACAAAACUUGUACCAGGAGUGUUUGACAACAGCUGUAAUGAGCUCAGACAGCUUCAUGAGAUGGGCAAAUAAACCACUGCAAACAAAAUUGCCUUUGUCCACUGUGUCCAUUCAAGAUUCAAAGCAAACUUAUUUUUGAGCCUUUAAAAACAUCUUAGCCAUUGAAAGUAAUUCUUUUUUGUCUUGAGCUCUCUUCAUCUCU